Molecule: long non-coding RNA, 358 nt
Organism: Clupea harengus (Atlantic herring)
Lineage: Eukaryota; Metazoa; Chordata; Actinopteri; Clupeiformes; Clupeidae
Source: Ensembl
AUGCUGUGGCUACUACCCCAGCACCUAAUCCACACAACCAGACAACAUCUGCACAAACUGAAGUUACUGAUGGAGCCAGUGGAAGAUGCUGUGGACCGCCAAAGUGAUGAUGUGGUUGUCACCCACAACACCCAAUCCCCACAACCAGACCACAUCUGCCCAUACUGAAGCUGGUGGUGGAGCAAGUGAAGAUGCUGUGGCUACUACCCCAGCACCUAAUCCAGACAACCAGACAACUUCUGCACAAGCUGAAGUUACUGAUGGAGCCAGUGAAGAUGCUCUGGACCGCCAAAGUGAUGAUGUGGUUGUCACCACAACACCCAAUCCCACAACCAGACCACAUCUGCCCAUACUGAAA